UGAGCUGUGUGGUAUCUCCAUAACGGUAAGUUCUGUUUAUCUAUUGGUGUAGUAUCUCCGUAAUGGUGAGCUCUCUUGUAUCUCCGUAAUGGUAAGUUCUGUUUAUCUCUUGGUGUGGUAUCUCCGUAAUGGUAAGUUCUGUUUAUCUCUUGGUGUGGUAUCUCCGUAAUGGUAAGUUCUGUUUAUCUCUUGGUGUGGUAUCUCCGUAGUGGUAAGUUCUGUUUAUCUCUUGGUGUGGUAUCUCCGUAAUGGUAAGUUCUGUUUAUCUAUUGGUGUGGUAUCUCCGUAGUGGUAAGUUCUGUUUAUCUCUUGGUGUGGUAUCUCCGUAAUGGUGAGCUGUGUGGUAUCGCCAUAAUGGUGAGCUGUGUGGUAUCUCCAUAACGGUAAGUUCUGUUUAUCUAUUGCUCUAGUAUCUCCAUAAUGGUGAGCUGUGUGGUAUCUCCAUAACGGUAAGUUCUGUUUAUCUAUUGGUGUAGUAUCUCCGUAAUGGUGAGCUGUCUGGUAUCUCCUUAAUGGUAAGUUCUGUUUCUCGGUAUGCUAUCUCCGUAAUGGUGAGCUGUGUGGUUCUCUUGGUGUGGCAUCUGUAAUGGUAAGCUCUAGUAUCUCCGUAAUGGUGAGCUGUGUGGUAUCUCUUGGUGUUGGUAUCUGUAAUGGUAAGCUCUAGUAUCUUCAUAAUGGUGAGCUGUGUGGUAUCUCCGUAAUGGUGAGCUGUGUGGUAUCUCCAUAACGGUAAGUUCUGUUUAUCUAUUGGUGUAGUAUCUCUGUAAUGGUGAGCUGUGUGGUUCUCUUGGUGUGGCAUCUGUAAUGGUGAGCUGUGUGGUUCUCUUAGUGUUGGUAUCUGUAAUGGUAAGCUCUAGUAUCUCCAUAAUGGUGAGCUGUGUGGUAUCUAUAAUGGUAAGCUCUAGUAUCUCCGUAACGGUAAGCUGUGUGUUUAACUCUUGGUGUGGUAUCUGUAAUGGUAAGCUCUAGUAUCUCCGUAAUGGUGAGCUGUGUGGUAUCUCCGUAAUGGUGAGCUGUGUGGUUCUCUUGGUGUUGGUAUCUGUAAUGGUAAGCUCUAGUAUCUCCAUAACGGUGAGCUGUGUGGUAUCUCCAUAACAGUGAGCUGUGUGGUAUCUCCGUAAUGGUGAGCUGUGUGGUUCUCUUGGUGUUGGUAUCUGUAAUGGUAAGCUCUAGUAUCCCCGUAAUGGUGAGCUGUGUGGUGUCUCCAUAAUGGUGAGCUGUGUGGUUAUCUCUUGGUGUGGUGUCUCCAUAAUGGUGAGCUGUGUGGUUAUCUCUUGGUGUGGUAAUGGUAAACUGUGUGGUUAUCUCUUGGUGUGGUAAUGGUAAACUGUGUGGUUAUCUCUUGGUGUGGUAAUGGUAAACUGUGU
This is a long non-coding RNA of Oncorhynchus tshawytscha (Chinook salmon), 1367 nucleotides long. The record is from Ensembl. Lineage: Eukaryota; Metazoa; Chordata; Actinopteri; Salmoniformes; Salmonidae.